Small nucleolar RNA from Tupaia belangeri (northern tree shrew), 104 nucleotides. Lineage: Eukaryota; Metazoa; Chordata; Mammalia; Scandentia; Tupaiidae. The record is from Ensembl.
GUUCUUUUAUGGUUCAUAAGCAUUAUGACUGGAUUUUUGUGCUACUGUAUGAGAUGUGCCUCCCUCAGAUCUUGUUAUGACAUCAGCAAUUCUAUCAAUUCACU